This 635-nucleotide ribosomal RNA is filed under the name uncultured Actinomycetes bacterium. RNAcentral's name for it is "bacterial SSU rRNA". It matches the Rfam family "Bacterial small subunit ribosomal RNA", at positions 234 to 885 of the family's 1533-position model. The record is from RNAcentral. Lineage: Bacteria; Bacillati; Actinomycetota; Actinomycetes.
CGCCUGGGGAGUACGGGUGAGGUAACGGCUCACCAAGGCAUCGACGGGUAGCUGGUCUGAGAGGAUGAUCAGCCACACUGGGACUGAGACACGGCCCAGACUCCUACGGGAGGCAGCAGUGGGGAAUAUUGCACAAUGGGCGAAAGCCUGAUGCAGCAACGCCGCGUGCGGGAAGACGGCCCUAGGGUUGUAAACCGCUUUCAGCAGGGAAGAAAAUGACGGUACCUGCAGAAGAAGGUGCGGCCAACUACGUGCCAGCAGCCGCGGUGACACGUAGGCACCAAGCGUUGUCCGGAUUUAUUGGGCGUAAAGAGCUCGUAGGCGGUUCAGUAAGUCGGGUGUGAAAACUCUGGGCUCAACCCAGAGACGCCACUCGAUACUGCUGUGACUCGAGUGCGGUAGGGGAGCGGGGAAUUCCUAGUGUAGCGGUGAAAUGCGCAGAUAUUAGGAGGAACACCAGUGGCGAAGGCGGCACUCUGGGCCGGUACUGACGCUGAGGAGCGAAAGCAUGGGGAGCAAACAGGAUUAGAUACCCUGGUAGUCCAUGCCGUAAACGUUGGGCACUAGGUAUGGGAUCAUAUCAACGGAUUCCGUGCCGUAGCUAACGCAUUAAGUGCCCCGCCUGGGGAGUACGG